CAGUAGCCACGGUAAUACGGAGGGUGCAAGCGUUAAUCGGAAUUACUGGGCGUAAAGCGUGCGUAGGCGGUUCGUUAAGUCUGUUGUGAAAGCCCCGGGCUCAACCUGGGAAUGGCAAUGGAUACUGGCGAGCUAGAGUGUGUCAGAGGAUGGUGGAAUUCCCGGUGUAGCGGUGAAAUGCGUAGAGAUCGGGAGGAACAUCAGUGGCGAAGGCGGCCAUCUGGGACAACACUGACGCUGAGGCACGAAAGCGUGGGGAGCAAACAGGAUUAGAUACCCCUGUAGUCCCUGUCUCUUAUAC
RNAcentral lists this ribosomal RNA (301 nucleotides) under uncultured bacterium. RNAcentral describes it as "partial 16S ribosomal RNA". It matches the Rfam family "Bacterial small subunit ribosomal RNA", at positions 509 to 807 of the family's 1533-position model. The record is from RNAcentral.